Molecule: ribosomal RNA, 253 nt
Filed under: uncultured bacterium
Lineage: Bacteria
Description: partial 16S ribosomal RNA
Rfam family: Bacterial small subunit ribosomal RNA
Source: RNAcentral
UACGUAGGGUGCAAGCGUUAAUCGGAAUUACUGGGCGUAAAGCGUGCGCAGGCGGUUUUGUAAGUCAGAUGUGAAAUCCCCGGGCUUAACCUGGGAACUGCGUUUGAAACUACAAGGCUAGAGUGUGGCAGAGGGGGGUGGAAUUCCACGUGUAGCAGUGAAAUGCGUAGAGAUGUGGAGGAACACCGAUGGCGAAGGCAGCCCCCUGGGUUAGCACUGACGCUCAGGCACGAAAGCGUGGGGAGCAAACAGG